This 1325-nucleotide ribosomal RNA is filed under the name Vibrio parahaemolyticus. RNAcentral describes it as "partial 23S ribosomal RNA". It matches the Rfam family "Bacterial large subunit ribosomal RNA", at positions 1641 to 2925 of the family's 2925-position model. Lineage: Bacteria; Pseudomonadati; Pseudomonadota; Gammaproteobacteria; Vibrionales; Vibrionaceae. The record is from RNAcentral.
AUCGUACCCCAAACCGACACAGGUGGUCGGGUAGAGAAUACCAAGGCGCUUGAGAGAACUCGGGUGAAGGAACUAGGCAAAAUGGUACCGUAACUUCGGGAGAAGGUACGCUCUUGAUGGUGAAGUCCCUCGCGGAUGGAGCUGACGAGAGUCGCAGAUACCAGGUGGCUGCAACUGUUUAUUAAAAACACAGCACUGUGCAAAAUCGUAAGAUGACGUAUACGGUGUGACGCCUGCCCGGUGCCGGAAGGUUAAUUGAUGGGGUUAGACUUCGGUCGAAGCUCUUGAUCGAAGCCCCGGUAAACGGCGGCCGUAACUAUAACGGUCCUAAGGUAGCGAAAUUCCUUGUCGGGUAAGUUCCGACCUGCACGAAUGGCGUAAUGAUGGCCACGCUGUCUCCACCCGAGACUCAGUGAAAUUGAAAUCGCUGUGAAGAUGCAGUGUACCCGCGGCUAGACGGAAAGACCCCGUGAACCUUUACUACAGCUUGGCACUGAACAUUGACCCUACAUGUGUAGGAUAGGUGGGAGGCUUUGAAGCACGUACGCCAGUAUGUGUGGAGCCGUCCUUGAAAUACCACCCUUGUAGUGUUGAUGUUCUAACGUCGACCCCUAAUCGGGGUUGCGGACAGUGCCUGGUGGGUAGUUUGACUGGGGCGGUCUCCUCCCAAAGAGUAACGGAGGAGCACGAAGGUGGGCUAAUCACGGUUGGACAUCGUGAGGUUAGUGCAAUGGCAUAAGCCCGCUUGACUGCGAGAAUGACAAUUCGAGCAGGUGCGAAAGCAGGUCAUAGUGAUCCGGUGGUUCUGAAUGGAAGGGCCAUCGCUCAACGGAUAAAAGGUACUCCGGGGAUAACAGGCUGAUACCGCCCAAGAGUUCAUAUCGACGGCGGUGUUUGGCACCUCGAUGUCGGCUCAUCACAUCCUGGGGCUGAAGUCGGUCCCAAGGGUAUGGCUGUUCGCCAUUUAAAGUGGUACGCGAGCUGGGUUUAGAACGUCGUGAGACAGUUCGGUCCCUAUCUGCCGUGGGCGUUGGAAGAUUGAAGGGGGCUGCUCCUAGUACGAGAGGACCGGAGUGGACGAACCUCUGGUGUUCGGGUUGUGUCGCCAGACGCAUUGCCCGGUAGCUAAGUUCGGAAUCGAUAACCGCUGAAAGCAUCUAAGCGGGAAGCGAGCCCUGAGAUGAGUCUUCCCUGAUACUUUAAGUAUCCUAAAGGGUUGUCGGAGACUACGACGUUGAUAGGUCAGGUGUGUAAGUGCUGUGAGGCAUUGAGCUAACUGAUACUAAUUGCCCGUGAGGCUUAACCAUACAACACCCAAGGGGUUU